RNAcentral lists this ribosomal RNA (440 nucleotides) under uncultured bacterium. RNAcentral describes it as "partial 16S ribosomal RNA". It matches the Rfam family "Bacterial small subunit ribosomal RNA", at positions 338 to 795 of the family's 1533-position model. The record is from RNAcentral.
CCUACGUGUGGCAGCAGUGGGGAAUAUUGCACAAUGGGGGGAACCUUGAUGCAGCAACGCCGCGUGGGUGAAGAAGUACUCCGGUAUGUAAAGCCCUGUCAGCAGGGAAGAAAAUGACGGUACCUGAGUAAGAAGCACCGGCUAAAUACGUGCCAGCAGCCGCGGUAAUACGUAUGGUGCAAGCGUUAUCCGGAUUUACUGGGUGUAAAGGGAGCGCAGGCGGCACGGCAAGCCUGAUGUGAAAGCCCGCGGCCCAACCGCGGGACUGCAUUGGGAACUGCCGGGCUGGAGUGCCGGAGAGGUAGGCGGAAUUCCUAGUGUAGCGGUGAAAUGCGUAGAUAUUAGGAGGAACACCAGUGGCGAAGGCGGUCUGCUGGACAGCAACUGACGGUGAGGCGCGAAAGCGUGGGGAGCAAACAGGAUUAGAUACCCGGGUAGUC